Molecule: ribosomal RNA, 468 nt
Filed under: uncultured bacterium
Lineage: Bacteria
Description: partial 16S ribosomal RNA
Rfam family: Bacterial small subunit ribosomal RNA
Source: RNAcentral
GACGAACGCUGGCGGCGUGCUUAACACAUGCAAGUCGAACGGAAAGGCCCUGCUUUUGUGGGGUGCUCGAGUGGCGAACGGGUGAGUAACACGUGAGUAACCUGCCCUUGACUUUGGGAUAACUUCAGGAAACUGGGGCUAAUACCGGAUAGGAGCUCCUGCUGCAUGGUGGGGGUUGGAAAGUUUCGGCGGUUGGGGAUGGACUCGCGGCUUAUCAGCUUGUUGGUGGGGUAGUGGCUUACCAAGGCUUUGACGGGUAGCCGGCCUGAGAGGGUGACCGGCCACAUUGGGACUGGGAUACGGCCCACACUCCUACGGGAGGCAGCAGUGGGGAAUAUUGCACAAUGGGCGGAAGCCUGAUGCAGCAACGCCGCGUGCGGGAUGACGGCCUUCGGGUUGUAAACCGCUUUCGCCUGUGACGAAGCGUGAGUGACGGUAAUGGGUAAAGAAGCACCGGCUAACUACGUG